AGCCCGGUGGUGUAGUGGCCAAUCAUACGAGACUUUGAAUCUCGUUACCGCGGUUCGAAUCCGCGUCGGGCUA
RNAcentral lists this transfer RNA (73 nucleotides) under Methanococcus aeolicus. RNAcentral describes it as "tRNA-Gln". It matches the Rfam family "tRNA". From Rfam's summary of the family: Transfer RNA (tRNA) molecules are approximately 80 nucleotides in length. The record is from RNAcentral. Lineage: Archaea; Methanobacteriati; Methanobacteriota; Methanococci; Methanococcales; Methanococcaceae. RNAcentral also lists the same sequence under 1 other name.